RNAcentral lists this unclassified non-coding RNA (200 nucleotides) under soil metagenome. RNAcentral's name for it is "partial contains internal transcribed spacer 2 and large subunit ribosomal RNA". The record is from RNAcentral.
UGUUCGAGCGUCGUUUCACCACUCAAGCCUCGCUUGUUAUUGGGCGCCGCGGUUUGCCGCACGCCCCAAUGUCUCCGGCUGAGCCGUCCGUCUUAAAGCGUUGUAGCAACUCAAUCCGCUUCUGGGACCGGGCGACCCGGCCGUUAAACACCCCACACAAGGUUGACCUCGGAUCAGGUAGGGAUACCCGCUGAACUUAG